CCCUAGUACUGGAUAUGUAGAUAAUUAGUAUUAGUGAAAUUUAAUAAUUUUGGCGGUUAACUGUUUAUUAGAGGAGCUUGUUUUAUGGAAAUGGCUCUUUGUAUUUUGUUAAUGGAAGAUUUAUUCAUCUCCGUUCUUAGAUAAUGGAUUAUUAUAAUUAUUGUUGAUAUUUCAGGUCAAGAUGUAGUUUCUAUUAAAAAGAAUUAGCUACAUUUAUAUAAUAUUGGAUUAAUUGAGAAGAAGUUUUUUAGGAAAUUGAAUUUAGUUGUAAUAUUAAUUAGAAAGUUAAUAUGAAAUUUACUGGUUAGUGU
This 311-nucleotide ribosomal RNA is filed under the name Gonyleptes horridus. Its description in RNAcentral is "partial small subunit ribosomal RNA". The record is from RNAcentral. Lineage: Eukaryota; Metazoa; Arthropoda; Arachnida; Opiliones; Gonyleptidae.